RNAcentral lists this ribosomal RNA (253 nucleotides) under uncultured bacterium. Its description in RNAcentral is "partial 16S ribosomal RNA". It matches the Rfam family "Bacterial small subunit ribosomal RNA", at positions 524 to 776 of the family's 1533-position model. The record is from RNAcentral.
UACGGAGGGUGCAAGCGUUAAUCGGAUUUACUGGGCGUAAAGCGUCCGUAGGCGGUUAGAUCAGUUGGGUGUGAAAGCCCCGGGCUCAACCUGGGAAUUGCACUCAAUACUGUCUGACUAGAGUUUGUGAGAGGGAGGUGGAAUUCCAGGUGUAGCGGUGAAAUGCGUAGAUAUCUGGAAGAACACCAGUGGCGAAGGCGACCUCCUGGCACAAAACUGACGCUGAGGGACGAAAGCGUGGGGAGCAAACAGG